UUAGGCAAAUCCGGCACUCUUAAGAUUGAGCUGUGAUGGGGAGAGGAACUUGUUCCUCGAGUCGUUGAUUUCACACUGCCGAGAAAAGCCUCUAGCUAGAAUAACGGUGCCCGUACCGCAAACCGACACAGGUAGUCAAGAUGAGAAUUCUAAGGUGAGCGAGCGAACUCUCGUUAAGGAACUCGGCAAAAUGACCCCGUAACUUCGGGAGAAGGGGUGCUCUUUGAGGUUCACGCUUCGAAGAGCCGCAGUGAAUAGGCCCAAGCGACUGUUUAUCAAAAACACAGGUCUCUGCUAAACCGUAAGGUGACGUAUAGGGGCUGACGCCUGCCCGGUGCUGGAAGGUUAAGAGGAGUGGUUAGCGCAAGCGAAGCUACGAAUCGAAGCCCCAGUAAACGGCGGCCGUAACUAUAACGGUCCUAAGGUAGCGAAAUUCCUUGUCGGGUAAGUUCCGACCCGCACGAAAGGCGUAACGAUUUGGGCACUGUCUCAACGAGAGACUCGGUGAAAUCAUAGUACCGGUGAAGAUGCCGGUUACCCGCGACAGGACGGAAAGACCCCGUGGAGCUUUACUGUAGCCUGAUAUUGAAAUUCGGUACAGUUUGUACAGGAUAGGUAGGAGCCUUAGAAGCGUGAGCGCUAGCUUACGUGGAGGCAUUGGUGGGAUACUACCCUAAUUGUAUUGGAUUUCUAACCCGCAGCACUUAUCGUGCUGGGAGACAGUGUCAGGCGGGCAGUUUGACUGGGGCGGUCGCCUCCUAAAGAGUAACGGAGGCGCUCAAAGGUUCCCUCAGAAUGGUUGGAAAUCAUUCAUAGAGUGUAAAGGCAUAAGGGAGCUUGACUGCGAGACCUACAAGUCGAGCAGGGUCGAAAGACGGACUUAGUGAUCCGGUGGUUCCGCAUGGAAGGGCCAUCGCUCAACGGAUAAAAGCUACCCCGGGGAUAACAGGCUUAUCUCCCCCAAGAGUUCACAUCGACGGGGAGGUUUGGCACCUCGAUGUCGGCUCAUCGCAUCCUGGGGCUGUAGUCGGUCCCAAGGGUUGGGCUGUUCGCCCAUUAAAGCGGUACGCGAGCUGGGUUCAGAACGUCGUGAGACAGUUCGGUCCCUAUCCGUCGUGGGCGUAGGAAAUUUGAGAGGAGCUGUCCUUAGUACGAGAGGACCGGGAUGGACAUACCUCUGGUGUACCAGUUGUCGUGCCAACGGCAUAGCUGGGUAGCUAUGUAUGGACGGGAUAAGUGCUGAAAGCAUCUAAGCAUGAAGCCCCCCU
RNAcentral lists this ribosomal RNA (1268 nucleotides) under Staphylococcus pseudintermedius. RNAcentral's name for it is "partial 23S ribosomal RNA". It matches the Rfam family "Bacterial large subunit ribosomal RNA", at positions 1532 to 2799 of the family's 2925-position model. Lineage: Bacteria; Bacillati; Bacillota; Bacilli; Caryophanales; Staphylococcaceae. The record is from RNAcentral.